GUGCAGCUGUAAUGGGUUAAGAGACCAUUUAUAGCCUAGUUUUCUGGCGGGGUUUUUGCCCCAGCGUACUUCAUUACAGGUGGGAAAACAACACGGAUUGUAUGUCCUUCAGUGUUCAUGUAGGCUGGGAAGUGGGAGGAGAAAAACAAAACAAAGCUGAAAAUGAGUGUUGAAUGGGCUUUCCCAGGAUUCCCAGGUAUCUGUGGUUACCUCUGUGUGAACUGUAGCAAAGUUCUCCAAAAAGGAGCAACAUCAAUAGAACGCCUGUUAUGACACACAACAGAAAACCACUUGAAGUAUUGCUGUUACUCACUACAGAAGAAUGAUUUGUGCAAAGAUAAGAUGCUUUGGCCUUGAGACACACAUGAGUAAAUUGGGUAGUUUUCCUAAGAAGCAUUCUUGUUGAACUGUUUUCCUUUUCCAUUUCAGUUGACAAUAUGGAUCUGUAGUAUAUUGUUGGAUCUGCUGUGUGAUAACACAACAAAGCCUGUGUUCUGCUCUCAGCAGUGCUAUUUAUACCUUGUAACAUUUUUCAAAGUACUGCUUUAGUGUUCUUCCACUGUUCAAAAAAAAAAAAAAAAAAAGCCCAACCAAAACAACAUAAGAUAACCCUGCCCCCAAAACAGAUAAAUAAAUAAAUAAAUAAAUAAAUAAAUAGAACCA
Molecule: long non-coding RNA, 663 nt
Filed under: Cyanistes caeruleus (blue tit)
Lineage: Eukaryota; Metazoa; Chordata; Aves; Passeriformes; Paridae
Description: lncRNA (ENSCCEG00000022607.1)
Source: RNAcentral